GCCUGGCUGGCUCAGUUGGUAGAGCAUGCGACUCUUGAUCUUGGGGUUGUGAGUUUGAGUCCCACACUGGGUU
This 73-nucleotide transfer RNA is filed under the name Felis catus (domestic cat). It matches the Rfam family "tRNA". Rfam says of the family: Transfer RNA (tRNA) molecules are approximately 80 nucleotides in length. RNAcentral also lists the same sequence under 2 other names. The record is from Rfam by way of RNAcentral. Lineage: Eukaryota; Metazoa; Chordata; Mammalia; Carnivora; Felidae.